GUAACUGUCAUUGGAUGGGAUUUUGAAUGUUAAUGCCUGACUGGGUACAUACACUGUCCAUCAAAUGAAACCGGAAGAAAGGUUACAUAUCGAAACAAUUUGUAAGGAAGGAUAGUGGUGUGUCCUUACCGAGCUGUUACGAGACAGUUGUUUGGUAUGGAGGCUCCAGCUACUGUUAACCUGACUGGCUGGAGGAGACAUUUCAACAGCUACACACUACAGGGCCGACGCAACUUUGUCCUGGCUACCUAUGGUGUCCUAGCGUUGUCAGCAGCAGCCUAUAUGAUACACAAACGGAGUAAAGAGGACCCCAGAGUAGCCAGCCCCACUGCCUGACUGACACCCUCUCUCAAUGUUCAAUGUCCAAUGUCCAACGCUUUAUUGACCUGAUAUUCACAUUGUUUUCCAAUACUACCAAAUCAGAGAUUCAUAACAGCAGCGCUCUCUCUCUCUUCCGCUCCCUCCCUCUCUUCCGCUCCCUCCCCUCCCUCUCUCUCUCACUCUCUCCCUCCCUCUUCCGCUCCCUCCCUCUCUCCCUCCCUCUUCCGCUCCCUCCCUCCCCUCCCUCUCUCUCACUCUCACUCUCUCCCUCUCUCUUCCGCUCCCUCCCUCUCUUCCGCUCCCUCCCUCUCACUCUCACUCUCUCCCUCCCUCUUCCGCUCCCUCCCUCUUCCGCUCCCUCCCUCUUCCGCUCCCUCCCUCUUCCGCUCCCUCCCUCUUCCGCUCCCUCCCUCCCCUCCCUCUCUCUCACUCUCACUCUCUCCCUCUCUCUACCGCUCCCUCCCUCUCUUCCGCUCCCUCCCUCUCACUCUCACUCUCUCCCUCCCUCUUCCGCUCCCUCCCUCUUCCGCUCCCUCCCUCUUCCGCUCCCUCCCUCUUCCGCUCCCUCCCUCUUUUCCGCUCCCUCCCUCUCUUCCGCUCCCUCCCUCCCUUUCUCUCUCGCUCUCUCUCUCUCUCGCUCUCUCUCUCAAUGUUAAUAAAUAGAAUUUAAUCCAGUCACGAUGUCUCUGUGUCGUCUUGGUUUAAUCUCUAACCCAGAAUAGAACGGAGCAGAAUCCAUCCUGGCAUUCAGACUAACCGGUAACCAUGACAACACACUACUGGGAGCUCCAGGCUGCAGCGUGUAUGUCUGGCCACGGGGUGGCGCUGUGGAGAGAGAGGGGGAGAGAGAGAAUGUACUACAUAAACUGGGUGGUUCGAGUGCUGAUUGGCUGAAAGCCGUGGUAUAUCAGAUCGUUUACCACGGGUAUGACAAAACAUUUUAUUUUUACUGCUCUAAUUACGUUGGUAACCAGUUUAUAAAAGCACUAAGGCACCUCGGGGGUUUGUGGUAUAUGGC
This 1339-nucleotide long non-coding RNA is filed under the name Salmo salar (Atlantic salmon). RNAcentral describes it as "lncRNA (ENSSSAG00000101045.1)". Lineage: Eukaryota; Metazoa; Chordata; Actinopteri; Salmoniformes; Salmonidae. The record is from RNAcentral.